CCUACGGGAGGCAGCAGUGAGGAAUAUUGGUCAAUGGGCGGGAGCCUGAACCAGCCAAGCCGCGUGAGGGAAGAAGGUACAGCGUAUCGUAAACCUCUUUUGUCAGGGAACAAAGGCGGGGACUAGUCCCCGGAUGAGGGUACAUGAAGAAAAAGCAUCGGCUAACUCCGUGCCAGCAGCCGCGGUAAUACGGAGGAUGCGAGCGUUAUCCGGAUUUAUUGGGUUAAAGGGGUGCGCAGGCGGCCUGUUAAGUCAGCGGUAAAAGCCCGGGGCUCAACCCCGGCGAGCCGUUGAAACUGGCGGGCUUGAGUUGUGGAGAAGUACGCGGAAUGCGCGGUGUAGCGGUGAAAUGCUUAGAUAUCGCGCAGAACCCCGAUUGCGAAGGCAGCGUACCGGCUCCACACUGACGCUGAGGCACGAAAGCGUGGGUAUCGAACAGGAUUAGAUACCCCUGUAGUC
RNAcentral lists this ribosomal RNA (459 nucleotides) under uncultured bacterium. RNAcentral's name for it is "partial 16S ribosomal RNA". It matches the Rfam family "Bacterial small subunit ribosomal RNA", at positions 338 to 795 of the family's 1533-position model. The record is from RNAcentral.